ACCGCCUGACCCUUCAGAUGACACAGCCUCCGGAUCAUGCUUGCGUAACGGCUAUAGUUAUCAUUUAUCUGCUACAUUAAUCCAACCAUUUACCUCUUUUGCACCACUCAUCCCUCUCUCUCUCUCUUCUUCCUUCGCUUAUUAACUUCAUCAACUUUUGCCGAUUUCAUAUCCGAUGGAAUCGACGGUAGAAGUCUUGGCUGCUCCGGAUCGGUUAUCAAGACGGUGGUCUCGGAGAGAAAUAGGAAGCUUGUGAACAUACUUAUGGGGUUCAUGCCGUGUACUUAGACGGCGCUUGGUAACGUGUUUUUGAUUUUGGUUUAUGGGUUUCUCAUGUUCACGGCGGUAACAUAUCUAUCUGCCGGAAGUGAGCUUCUUCUCGAGAUUGGCCCUUGAAUCGUCGGUGGUUUGUUUCUUCCCAUGGUCGGAGUACUCCCUGAUGCUAUGCUUAUUAUGGAUAGGUGAAAGUCUCUGUGGGAAUGGGUUUGCUCGCUGGCUCUACCGUUACGCUUCUUUCUAUUAUCUGGAGAACUUGCAAAGUUGUUGGCAAGUGUAACAUUCGUGAUACUAUUGCUGUAAACAACCAAGACACUAGAACCUUCCAUCUUAAAGAUUCUGGUGUUAGUGUUGAUGUUUGGACCAUGUGCUUAUUCAUCGUAGUUUUCCCUCUCACUUCAUCUACAUUUCUAAUCUGACAUAACAAGAAAGAGAAUGCAGUGGUUGAGUUUGUGUGGGUGGUGAGCGCGAAAGAAAAAUUUGUAGCAGAAACGUUGAAACAUCUGACCAUGGAGAUCAUUGGUGCUAGGAGGAAGAAACUUUAUGAAGCAACAGUGUGGGUUAAGCCAAGGAUGAACUUCAAGGAGUUAUGCCGGUGAUAAUGCCCCUGCCAUUACUCCCUCCUAACUUGGCUGCACAUAAGAUGAUCAUAAAUCUUGGAGGGAAGUUCCACGAGAUGAUUCAGUACAAUCCUUUUCUGAUCAUGCUGUCAAGAGCAUCCAACACAGAUUUAACUCAUUGUUACUUUCGUCAAGUUCCCCUUAUGCCGUUGUCUCUGGCUCUGAUGUGCUGUGUGCUUUGGUGUUGUACGGGAGUGGUGCUUUGAGAUUAAACCUAAACAACUCCACUUCUCAUGCUGUUGGUGGUGUGCAGGUCAAUAAAAAGUGUUCCAAAUGUAGGUGGCUUCUCUCCCACCAACACACUUCCACCAAAAAGUGAGAAUGCACCUAAGAAAGUACAAAUAGUUUAAUUCCAGGCAGAUGCGUUACUUGAUCACAAUUUUUGCUUCGUAAAUAAUGCUUUAUCAACCCUUUUUAAAUUAA
Molecule: long non-coding RNA, 1319 nt
Organism: Brassica oleracea var. oleracea
Lineage: Eukaryota; Viridiplantae; Streptophyta; Magnoliopsida; Brassicales; Brassicaceae
Exons: 6
Source: RefSeq, a predicted model, not a curated record